RNAcentral lists this long non-coding RNA (2250 nucleotides) under Equus caballus (horse). Its description in RNAcentral is "lncRNA (ENSECAG00000048762.1)". Lineage: Eukaryota; Metazoa; Chordata; Mammalia; Perissodactyla; Equidae. The record is from RNAcentral.
CUACCCCAUUUGCCAUUUGAGGAUGCAGCGAAAAGACUGCCAUUUAUGAAUGAGGAAGUGAACUCUCACCAGAUACUGAAUCUCGCGGAAUGUUGAUCCUGGACGUCUGGCCUUCAGAACUGUUUCUCCAUAGGAAGACAAGGAAGAGAUAUUAGUCACAACAAAUGUUUUCCUGUAUGUUUUCUGUGAAUAAUAUAGAAUUGCUAUCCAGCAAACGUGACUACCUACAACUUACCAGCCCCCCGGUACAUAGUUGUAUCUUCUUCGUUGUGGGUGCUUCUAGUUGUGGCAUGUGGGACGCUGCCUCAGCGUGGUCUGACGAGCAGUGCCAUGUCCGCGCCCAGGAUUCGAACCAACGAAACACUGGGCCGCCUGCAGCGGAGCGCGCAAACUUAACCACUCGGCCACGGGGCCAGCCCCUGCCUUCCCUUAUAUUUUGAGAUCCAUUUUUUUUUUAAACUCUGUCCUCAUCUAAGAGACAAAUCCUCAAAGGUGCCUCUGGCUGCAGUGUGUGUCGUCAAGAUUCUGGUGGCAACUUUCAGAGUGAAUUUUCAGCGCGUCAAACCUGGCUAAGACUUGGAGACAGUGUUUGGGUUGUGGUGAUGGGGGGAGACUUAAACUGGGAAGGAAAAAUGGAGGUACAGGUACCUUCCAUGUAAGAGAAGGAUGGAUUUCACUAUUGAGCCUGAGUGCUACGUAGAAACCUUUAGAAUUCCAGGGAUCUGGGCUGCCAAUGGCAGAUGACCCACCUGUCUUUGAAUAUCCUAGACUCCGCUUAGCAGCCCCACUCAGCAACCAUCCCCACAACCUUCUAUUAAUGGUGAAGGACUUGGGCACGUUGUGUGCAAAAAAGGACACAAAAGCAGCCUCUCUCCUCUAAUCAAGUAUCCUCCUGUGACAAUUGACCUAAGUGAAGCCCUUUUAAAAUAGAGCCGGUGCAGCCAUUCCAGAGGAACCGCCUUGCUCAUCUUGUUGCUUGAAGCCUGAACUGGGCCAAACUUUUGGACUGGGCUAAAAUGGUUAACCUCCUUACACUCUGGACCACCAAGGAAGUCUGUCUCCUGAAAACACCUCUGCAUGUCUUGGAAGCACAAAUAAGGAAGAUUCGCCCUGACCUAACAUCUGUGCCCAUCUUCCUCUGUUUUUUUGUACAUGGGACACCUUCAUGGCGUGGUUGGUGACAUGGAGAAAAAAUUUCUUGAUGACAAUAGAGCAAGAUGUGGGGACUGCUAUUUUCCAUAUCAUUCAGUAGAGUCGUUCAGUAGAUUUCUUUCUUUCUCCAAACUUUGCAAAAAUACUGAUUAAUUUACCAAUUAAAUCACUUUCCCCCCUAACUUUAUGCAAGUUUGCAAUGAAUUUCUGUAAUUAAAGUGUUUUAUAUCUAAAAGUUAUUUCACUGCAUGUUCUUAGAGGUAAUAUGUGCAGGAAAGUGGCCAUUUAAAGUAAGGCAGUUCCAAUUAUAAUGAUCCACUAAUGUUUAAUGAUAAAAACACAAAAUAGUCUAACAACAUUUUAGCACUAUUGGUACCAUGCCAACCAAAUACAUGAUAUUUUGAAAAGCCCAUUUAAUCAACUGCUCUAAGCAUUGAAUUCAUACCAUACACCAGUGGAUCUCAAUCUGUCUUGGGCUAAAGAUUCACUUGGGUUGCUGGCUUAAAAUGAAGAUUCCUGAUUGUCCCAUGAUUCCUUUCUUAGUAUGUAUGAGGUGACUUCAAUAAACCUGUAUUUUUAACAAGGCUUCCCUGGAGAUUAUGGUGCAGGAAAUUAUAUGCCCACUCACACUUUGGAAACCACUGCCAUUCUCCAACUUGUCAUGUAGCAGGAUAAAGAUGACUGUUAUGAACGAGUAGCCAGGUUGCAUUAAGGGAAAUUUCCUCAGAGAUUUUGUGUUUGUAUCGGUGCAAAGACCAUUGCAUAUGCCACUACAGAGAGAAAGAAGUUAAGAAUAAUAUGUGAAAUCUCAGUGUAAAUGAACAUAAAGGCUUAGGAAUUUGUUUUAAUACAUACAAAUUAGCAUCUAUGAGUGAUUUAAAAGAUGCCCAAUUCAUCCACAUACUGCAGAGCUGAAAAGAGAAGCCUAUAACUUUAAUUAGUUCAAAAUAUUUUUGCAAGCUUGUAUACUACACACGAGACACUUAAUCAUCUUGUAACUUAAAUCACUAAUUUGUAUAGGUUGUAACAAGUCUUCAGAAUACAAAAGUAAAUGACAGAUUGUUAAUAUAAAUACUUAAAUGGAAUUUUGGUGAAAUU